This 89-nucleotide transfer RNA is filed under the name Melanothamnus harveyi. Its description in RNAcentral is "tRNA-Ser". It matches the Rfam family "tRNA". From Rfam's summary of the family: Transfer RNA (tRNA) molecules are approximately 80 nucleotides in length. Their secondary structure includes four short double-helical elements and three loops (D, anti-codon, and T loops). Lineage: Eukaryota; Rhodophyta; Florideophyceae; Ceramiales; Rhodomelaceae. The record is from RNAcentral.
GGAGAAGUGGCUGAGUGGUUGAAAGCGGCAGAUUGCUAAUCUGCUGUAUAAUAAUAAUUAUACCGAGGGUUCGAAUCCCUUCUUCUCCU